This is a non-coding RNA of Lonchura striata (white-rumped munia), 5304 nucleotides long. The record is from RefSeq and is a predicted model, not a curated record. NCBI's taxonomy places the organism in Eukaryota, Metazoa, Chordata, Aves, Passeriformes, Estrildidae.
ACUUAUUCCUGCUGUUUAAUAACAUAACUUUCAGUACUGUGCUAAGAAACACUCAAAGUAUUGCUUUGCAGCUCUGCAUUGUUGUAAUCUGGCUUCUCAGGCAAAUAUAUUGACCUAUGCUUAAAUUAAAAGAAGAGAAUGUUUUCAUUCACACAAAUUCUCUAAAUUAGUAAUGAGCCUAGGUUUAAUGUGUGUGUAACUGUCUGUAGAGUUGGGGUAUUACCUGUUAAACUGAUUUCCUCUACUUAAUAGCUUAGACCUGGUCUAAACUGGAAAGAUUUUAUACUUAAAAUUGAUAUAAACCAAAAUUAUAUCCUCACAAAUUCUUUUAGUUUUCAUUAAAUUAUCAUUUAUAUGCUUUCAAGUGAGAUGUGUCAGCUUGAGAAUAAACCACAUUACUACAAGGCUGAUGAGAACAGGUGCCAGUUCCAGGUUCAUAAUACUGUUUUAGUAGCUUUUCCACAUACACUGCUUUAGUAUCCUCCAGACCAACUGUCUUCUUCCUGUUCUUGUUGGGGUAUGCCAGUAGCAUCUGUUGCUGCAGCUCCAGGUUUUGUAAAAGUAGACCUCUAAAACUCACCAUUUCCAACAAACAUUCUGGACCCUUUCUGCAUUAAGAGAUAAGAGACCAUAUUUAAAUUAUGUUCCCAGUAGCAAAGAGAUCAAUGACACCAUCCACCAUUAGGUAGUUGAACAAAUGUCCAGGGAAGAGUAAUUCGGGGAUCUAUGUCACACUCAAGAAAUCUGGUGCAUAUUUAUUAAGAACACCAAAUACAGAAACCUUCAGAAAACCAUUCCCAGGACAUGUGUGCUGUGUGGAGUUAAGCUGAAUGUGGCAGAGAGGCUCUCUUGGAUUAGUGAAAAUUGUGCCUCAACUAAAGCAGAAACACACUGGAAGCUAUGCAGGCACAUCUGGACUCUUAACUAGAAGAUAAAUUCUCUGGACAGCCAAGACUGUUUUAUGGAAGACCAAAUAAAAUGCCUCCCAGGAAAACAGACUGACUGUCCUGCAGAGGGAACCUCACUUGCAUCUUGCAUGGAACAGCUCACGGAGGAAGGGAUAUUACUGAUUGUUUGGUAAACCUGAGGAAAGAGAAGGCAAACAUCCUUCUUCAUCUCUAGCCUUGUGAAGGGAUCCCAAUGGCAGGCAAAGUGCCCAGAAGAAGGAAGUUUGUGUUGCAAGACAAGUUCAAGAGCGAAAGUGUGCAAUGGGAGCAAAUGGAAAAAUUUGGAAGAGAAAGGGACAUAAAGGAAAAGACCAUUGGACAUGAUGCAAAAGCUGCUAAACAUGCUGGAGAACUGUUUCACUUUGCUUGUGUGUAACAUCCUAAAGCAAUCCAGGCCUGUAGCUUUUCAUUCUUCCAGCUGUGAGCCACAAGCAGUCCCUUCAGGUUUUCCACCCCAAGAUGUGGGAGCACAUAUGAUUCUGUUUCACAUUUCUGAACCCUUUAUAAAAUGUGUCUGGCCUCCCAUGUUAGUUUUUGUGUCCCAUUUUAGUUAUUUCCAUUUGCACUAUCCUAUUGUGCCAAAACAACCAUUUUAGUUAUGAUUUGCAGUUAACUGGAAAGAAAAGCAUAGGUCUCCCUGCUAAGAGCCAUUUGUAAUAAAAUUGAAGUAAGGAAACUGUAUAUCAAGACAUUGUAUUUGUUUCGUUCAUUGCACUGUCAUGAAGUUUCUCCUCCAUCUGAGAUAUACAAGCACAGAAUUUCCGUGAACCCAGUUCCCUCAGUUACAGAUACAUGAAAAAGAGAAAUAAGCAAGUUGGCAACAUCUUGGCUCUUUGAAAAACAACAUUGCCCAAUAUGCUUCGUCUUCUAAGUUGGAGGAAGAAAAGGGGAAUGUCUGGUGCACUGUUCUUGGAAGCUUGCCAGUCCUUGACUUUGAGCAGGCUCCAGCUUGUGAUUAAACACCUCUGCUUUCCUUUCUGUCUUCCAAAUGUUCACUGAUCAUUCUGCUUCAGCCCAACAUACUUGAAUGUCUAGAAAAGCUUCUGAAAAGCCACGGAAGCCAAGAUACAGUCUUAAAAUACUACAUUUUAUGCUACAAUGCCAUUUAGACCCUGUGAUGUGUGAGUGAGCAAAAGCUUUGUGUUUUUGUGCAUAAAACAGUGAACUUUUCGCCUAAAAGUUCUGGUACUAAGCCUUUUCCAGGUUUCUCCAUGAAAAUAUUCCCAAUAUUCCUACAAUAUACAAGUUGAGUUGAUAUGCAUUCUUGCUUUGCAGAAAAGGUUUGGUAUCAGAAUCUUUAAAUCAGAAUCAGAAAACUCUCAGUCCAUACAGCAGGUGAGGGAAACCUUUUGCUGUCCAAAACUUUAUUUGCAAAAACCUGCUAGUGAACUGGACCUGGUUUGGAGGUCUAACAGUGACAGUGUGGUUGUCUUGAUAACCUCUGGUAUGUGAAGCUGUCAGGAAUUUUAGGCUCAUCAGCUUUGAUCUGGGCCAAAAGGCCAUUAUAAAUGAGUGCACAUCAUUGUGGUACUCCUGGCAGUUGUUUUUCACCUACACUAAUUUGUGUAGGGUAAUGACUUACAGAUCUGUCCCAUGAUGCUUCUAGGCUGACUUCCUAGAGAGUGCUGCAAGAAAGAUAUUUAGCUUGUAGUUACAAAUUGGUAUUGCUGUCUUUUUCUACAAAUCGGCAUUUAAUUUGGGAUUGUUGAGUAUUUCCAGGCUGCAGGGAUGAGGAAAGAAAUUAAAAAGUUAAAUUUUCUGGCAAUGAUUAAAUAAUUAAAUAGUCAAAUCAGAACCUGUUUGGCCUCCACAAUUUAAAUUUACCUGCUUGCUACUAUCACUGAAAUACCGUUGUGUCCCAGAUCCUUAGCAGUCCUGAGAAACUGCUUGGAACUGGAAAAGCAAUGUGUUCUUUAUUAAGAACAGUAACAACAACCAAAUCCUGGUGUUAACACUGAUAUAAACAAAAGCAGUCAAAAAAAAAGCCUUGAUACACAUUUUAGCUUGCAGUAGGUUUGGAUAUGAGUGUGCAGCCUUACAGGUAAUAGUGUGUGCAGCACUGAGCCCAGUGGCUAAACUGAGAUGGACUUGUUCAGGGUGUAAGGAGGAGAAAGAAUCUCAGUCCAGGAGAGACGCUGUCAUUUUAAAAAGGAACAGGUGCACACCUUAUAAUUGAGGCUAGGUGAAUGUGAAUUUUCAGUUCAAGUGUUUGCUCAAGUACAGCAAAACAGAAAUACGGUCAACAAAAACUUGAAGCCUAAAUACACCUAUCAUAAGAACAAUUUCAAGAAAAAUCUUUCCUGCGUAGACCAGCUCUUAAACACUUAUGAGGCAUCCAUUGGUGAGUAAAGGACAUUAAGGAAAAUCUAUAUUAAAAUUUUAUUUUGCAUUUGUAAAGUCAACAUAGUUAUAUCACUGCAAAUUCUAAAAUCCAAUAGACAUACUGUAUAUGAUUUUAUAAAAUUGUUUGUUUGUAUAUAGCAUAACAUGGGCAGACUAGUUUCUGAGUUACUUUACUCUUUCUUGUGGACCCAGUUUCGUGGGAUAGUUAAGCUGUGGACACAUGGGUACUUGCUAUGCUUGGUAAAGGGUAUAAGUUAUUCUUAUCAGUUAUUCUUGUUUCCUGAUAAAACAUCUUUCUGUUUUGUCUGAUAAAAAGGGAGGGAAAAAUGUACUAAUCCCAAACAUAUGGUCUAAGGUAAAAUCAUGUUCUGUCAUACUGCCAGGAAAGGUUGUAACAUACUGGAUUGAGAUUUGACAACAUCAGCUUGUUGCCUCAGAAGCCGAGAAUAAUUUGUUAAAAGAGUGCCCACAUCUCAGAGGCUGGGAGAAAGUUAUUUAUCUGCUUCCUUGUAGAAGGUCUCCUUUAUCAAGGUGACUGUAAACUGUUCACAAAGGCCACAGGAGCAGCAGAAACUCAGAUCCUGAUAUUCAAACUGCAUGUUCCUUUAAGCCUUAGCCUGUUAUUUUUUGGGGAGUGAGGAUUGGUUUUUUGCUUUAAGUUUCUUAGGUGUAUUUGGGGUUUUUGGGGGACUUUUUGUUUGGCUGCUAUUUGGGACUUUUUUUUGUCUUGUAGCGUGUUUUGUCAUCACUAUGCUUCCAUAACCUAAGAACUAAGAACAGUUUUGGAACUGGCCUGGAAUAGACCAUGUCACCCUUUUCCAAAUGAUGAUAUCUGGCCCUUUUAGCUCCAGUGUCACAACACCUCCUCUUGAGUAAUUUCAGUGUAGGAAUACUGUAGGAACAGCCUUUUGGUAGCUCAGAGGAUCACUGUGUUCUUUGUGGUUACAUGAUUUUGAUAGAAUAAGAUCUUGAUGCUGAUCAAGAUCUAGCUUUUGCCACACACAGAUGGAAGCUGGUGGUAAUAUUUUUCUGAGCUUGUGAUCUCAGUAGACUAGCAAGCAAACCCCUUGUCUCUUUUACUUCACUGGUUACCUUUUUUGAGGAAAAAUUCCAUUUAUCAGAAAUAACCUAUGUUUUUCAAAGUGUCUCAAGGACACCCAUUAAUAACUGCUUAUGAGAUCCCCAUCUCUGGAUUCUUUGUUGUCUAAAGCCCAGAGAUCCUUCAUGUAAUAGCUUAAGAAACAAAAAAAAAAAAAAAAAAAAGAUAAUUCUUUAUCAGCCUGCAAUUAUUUUCUAAAGAUCUGGACUUCCCUCAAUAAGAAUUUAGUGAGAAGAAAAAGCUGUUCAAGUUUUUUUCAAACAUGGUAUGGUGUAGCAUGCUGUUAAGCAACAUGAUGGACAUGAUGACCUGUGACCAGAAAUACAGAAGUAGCAGAUGACCAUUUAUGACUCAAAGGAGGAUGUAAUUGAAACAAUAUUGCCUCAAUCUGGUUUUCUUUUCCUUGGCUUACUCAUGAUCACAAUAUCUGAUUGCUUCUGUUUUUGUCAUGUGGCAGAGCUCAGAUGGUGUGUCAGUCAGUCCUGGUGCAGUGUUCUGAUGGGUUUUGUGAUAUACAUCCCUUAAUUUCCUUAUUACCUGAGAACUCCCAGGAAGUUUAAGCAGGAGUUAGCUAUCCCAACAAUGACAGUACUGGCCUGGUUUAGACACUUGUUAGAGUUUUCUUCUUAUACUUUUUUUGUGCAGCAUUUGACACACUUGCCUUAACAUGAGAAUGGAGUGCCUGUAAAUGUCAGUCAAAUCCUGCAGUGGGAUGUGUGCAGUGUCCCAUCUCCUGCUGUGUAUUCUAGUCACAUGAUUUACUUACAAACACAUUCAGGAGUUCAAAACUUCAUCUGCAAUAUUUUACCUGAAGGUACUCGCACAGCAGUGAAUGAAAACUUCAGCUUACAUGUAUGUACAACAACUGCAUUAAGAAAAAAUAAUUCUGAAAUAAUAAACAACUUCUGAAAUGCU